GACGAACGCUGGCGGCGUGCUUAACACAUGCAAGUCGAACGGUAAGGCCCUUCGGGGUACACGAGUGGCGAACGGGUGAGUAACACGUGGGUGAUCUGCCCUGCACUUCGGGAUAAGCCUGGGAAACUGGGUCUAAUACCGGAUAGGACCACUGCCUGCAUGGGUGGUGGUGGAAAGCUUUUGCGGUGUGGGAUGGGCCCGCGGCCUAUCAGCUUGUUGGUGGGGUGAUGGCCUACCAAGGCGACGACGGGUAGCCGGCCUGAGAGGGUGACCGGCCACACUGGGACUGAGAUACGGCCCAGACUCGUACGGGAGGCAGCAGUGGGGAAUAGUGCACAAUGGGCGCAAGCCUGAUGCAGCGACGCCGCGGGAGGGAUGACGGCCUUCGGGUUGUAAACCUCUUUCAGCACCGACGAAGCGCAAGUGACGGUAGGUGCAGAAGAAGGACCGGCCAACUACGUGCCAGCAGCCGCAGUAA
RNAcentral lists this ribosomal RNA (478 nucleotides) under uncultured bacterium. RNAcentral describes it as "partial 16S ribosomal RNA". It matches the Rfam family "Bacterial small subunit ribosomal RNA", at positions 28 to 523 of the family's 1533-position model. The record is from RNAcentral.